UAGCUGCGUUACUCGACAACUCGAUCGCCUUCACGGUUGGCAAAAUAGCCACGGCCGAUGCGCUGCCAUCCGUGUCGACGACUCACCUGCUCGACGAUGGCGCGGAGGCGUUCAAGUAGGAGUGCUUGUACGACCUCCUUUAUAGAUGCGACCCACACAACCUCCUGCUUGCGCUCGUUGUUGUGCUGAUGAUGCGCGUGACCCAUCCGCAGCUGGCCGCGAUGGCUGAGCGGUGACUAAAGGCAAGUCAGCGGGCCGAUGUGCGCCGCAUGGACGUGGCCGUUGUGGACGACUGCUAUGGUACGGCGGCAUUCUGCUGUACCUCGCCUUCACGCUGCUGCUUGGUGACUUUGUGGCGGAUGUGAAGCACUACUGCUGCGAUGGGCAGAGGCACCGCAUGGCGAAGAAGAUCAUCCUGUUUGUGUCGCUGUGGGUGGGCAUGGGGCUGAUGGCGCUUGUGGGCAACUGGCUGUAGGCGCCGCUGAUCGUUGCCAUUUGUGGGUUGCGAGUUGGUCCGCGUGCGAGCGUGUGUAUGGGGCGCACGCGUAUCGUGGCGGCCGUCGUGUGCGGCGAAAGAGUGCACGUGCAAAGCCUCGU
Non-coding RNA from Leishmania major strain Friedlin, 597 nucleotides. Lineage: Eukaryota; Euglenozoa; Kinetoplastea; Trypanosomatida; Trypanosomatidae. The record is from RefSeq and is a predicted model, not a curated record.